RNAcentral lists this long non-coding RNA (780 nucleotides) under Paramuricea clavata. Lineage: Eukaryota; Metazoa; Cnidaria; Anthozoa; Malacalcyonacea; Plexauridae. The record is from RNAcentral.
UUGUAUUGCAGCAAAAAAAUGAGAUAUUUUGUACUCAAUUACAAUAAAAAUGACUUGCAUAAUCGGGAAACGUACAAAAAACCGCAUAUAAGACUUUUAAAUAGUUUUUUGAUUCUUCAAAUAGUCUUAUUCAAAACCAGAAAUUUAGGAAAUUCAUCAAGACGAUGAAGUUAUAGUUGCCAGGUUCAGCCGUUUUCGUGCUCGACAAAUAAUAUUAGUGGAAUUACAUUCAAUAAGAUUGGGUUACAGAAUAAUGAGAAAACUGCUAAUAUGACAUUAUCUUCAACUAAAUUAUUCUUCAUUUUCUGUCAAUAUCUUUUUAAAAAGUGAUUUUCACUUGUGAGGGCAAAAUAAGUAACUGGGGGACUAAUAUGGGGGCUGGGGCCCCCAUUUCUAUAUGUAAAAACCUGAAACAGAGCCCACUCCGGUCAGCGUAUACUAUAAACAGUGUAUACUACUGAUCAAUGUGGAAAUAUAAAAGUUGAAAAUACAAAAGUUGAAAAUAUGGAAGUUGAAAAUAUGGAAGUUGAAAAUGCAAAAGUUGAAAAUGUAAAAGUUGAAAAUGUAAAAGUUGAAAAUAUAAAAGUUGAAAAUGUAAAAGUUGAAAAUGUAAAAGUUGAAAAUGUAAAAGUUGAAAAUGUAAAAGUUGAAAAUGUAAAAGUUGAAAAUGUAAAAGUUGAAAAUGUAAAAGUUGAAAAUGUAAAAGUUGAAAAUGCAAAAGUUGAAAAUGCAAAAGUUGAAAAUGCAAAAGUUGAAAAUGUAAAAGUUGAAAAUGCAAAA